This 1216-nucleotide long non-coding RNA is filed under the name Homo sapiens (human). RNAcentral describes it as "HSALNT0147271". Lineage: Eukaryota; Metazoa; Chordata; Mammalia; Primates; Hominidae. The record is from RNAcentral.
UGUCAAAAUAACAAAAAAUCCCUGGAAAUAAUUGUAUUCAGCUUUAUGAGAAAUAGUAAAAAUUAUGGCAUAUUCAUAUAAUGAAAAAGUUAUACAACUAUUUAAAAUUAAGUUUAUAAAGAAAUUUAAUAACGAAAAAUAAAUAUAGUAUGAUUUUUACCUAUAUUUACAUGUAAUAUAUAGAGAAAGAGACAAAGAGAAGAACUGGAAUAAAACACACUGAAACAUAAACAAAUGGUUAUUUUAUUCCAUUGACAUUUUUAUAUUUUCCAAAUUUUCUACAGGGAAUAUGUAUUACUCUUACAAUCAAAUAAAGCAAUAAAAGUCAUCCCAAACCAGCCAGCUUUAGACUUAUCUCCUCAGAGCACCCCAAGUCUGUUUCUGCUUUCCAUAAGCUAUGAAAUGCUCAAGAAUCCUCUGUAGCGAAGAAACUCCCCACUUUCUAACAUUUUUACUUAGAACCCCUAAUUAAGUUAUCAGCAUAAAACCACCCCAAGAAAAUGAUUCAUAGAAGUCCACAUCAGAAAGAAUGGGCCUUCCCCUCUUCCCAAUGUUGGCAUAUAUCAAUUCAAAGCUUAUUACUAUUUAAAUUACUUUAUUAUCAUAAUUCCUGUGAAUGACUUGCUUUGGUAGGAUUUUAUAGAUCUUUUAACCUACCCUUUCAGCCUUACCAUCCCCACUAUAAUGCCGACUUCCAUAACAACAGCAAAUAAUCUCAGUGGCUUAACACAAUCAAUCUUGUUCCUUUCACAGUCUGUUCAGGUAUUUAGUGCAUGGCCUUCUGUUCCAUGGUUACAGUAUCUUGGCUUUUCUUUUAUGGGACCACCAUCUGUAAGUGCUUCCUCAGAGGGCUUUGCUAGAUCCUCUGCAUUCACCUUAGAGGCACAUGCUAAAAGCUAGGUUUUUCAGGUUUUUGGUCAUGGUUCUAGGCUACGGUUCCAUGAAGCUCAGAUUUGUUAGGUGAUCUUGAGGCUUAAAAAUGAAAUAGUGAGUCUUUUCUUCUAUUUGCCCCAAUUGAGCCAUUUCUGAGUAUAAUAUCUUCUGAUUUACUUCAUUUUCCUGAACUACAACCUACUUUUGCUGUUGAUUCAGGUGAUUUUGUAGAGUCAGCUUUAUGGUUAAGCAUUCCCAAGUUCAAAUCCUAAUUUUUACAAUCUCCAACCGCACCUCCUUGGAAAAUGAAAAUAUAUCUUUAAGCCUUGGUUUUCUCAUCUGA